CACCAAGGGCCCUUCAAAACACACAAGCUUCUUGCUCACGGCAUAAAGCCCAAUUCCCUCUGGCCCCUGCAGGUUGGCUCAGCACUGGGGAAUCAGUGUCCCCUCCAUGACCAAGGCACCACUCCACUGACAGGGUUUCUGGAGGUGAAUAAAGUCAGAAAGGGCAUUCAAAAGGCUGUGAACACCUCCACCUUAUAUAGGUCUUCUUACUGGAGCUGGCAGCCAAUGAGGGUAAUGAUACAAAAAAGGUAACAAUCCAUUUCUUUCUUCCCUGCCAUCCCCAACUUAGACUCUGUUAAUCAGCAUGCUUGGCUGGCCUCCAAUCACAGGUCCAGGAGCUGAGACAAGGGUCCUUUUGAGCUUCUAUGUGGGAGGCUCUGGAAAGCUUAGCAACAUUUUCCAACAACUUUGCCAGGUAAGUCUUCUUGUCCCCAUUUCCAGAGAAGACAACUGAAGCCCAAAGAAAGACUUGCCAAAGCCAUGAUUGACUAGUUGAUGGCCAAGACAGCAUUAGAACACAAGUUUGUCUGAUUCUUUCAUGGCAUAUCUGGUGACCAUGACUGCUGCUUUUGCUGCUGGUUGGCUUAGGCUGAAUUGGGUAGGUAGAAAAGGAAGUGAGGGGGUGAAAGAGCUUUAGUUUUGAGAUUACUGCCAGAACUUAAAUUGAAGGGGUAUGUUACACCCUUACAUUCAAUUAAAAGAAAUGAGCAAGAAAAAAUACAGUGUUUUCUUGCUGAAAGACAAGGCUGAAUCCCUCUGUCUUGCCUUGGCUGGGACAAGGCUUUCCGGCUUCAUGGGGACAGUUUACCAUUUCUGGUAACCUUGGGAAGUUUGCAACUUUUCAUGACAAUAUUUAAUGUAGACCAGCUACCUGCUCACAGAUCAACUGCCAUAGCUGGUAAGGGCAGUAAUUUGAUACCAGCAGCCUGGCAUUUUUAGCAACAGGAUCUGAUUGUUGCCAAGGGAAUUCUCCCAGAAGUCUCAGACCUGACCCUGCUCCUGGCAGCUUCCUUAUUGCCCUGGUGGCUUGUGGGUUCACUGAUCCCAAAUGCUGCAUUGCAAAGCUAUUGCCUGUUUUUGCCCUCUUUGUUGAUGUGUCUCGCCUUUCCUAGAGGGAUAUACAGAGAAGGGAGGCAAAAUAACCAAUGAGGAAAGCUGUAUAAGGCAUACUGCUGAACUGUAAAAAACUUAUUGCGUAAACUUUACAAGUCUCCUCCCCAACAUGAACCUUUGUUCUCUCAUUUAUAACCUAAGUGAGUGAGACUAGAUGAUCUUUAAGGGCACUUUAAUAGCUGCCAUUCUUGAGUCCCUAUGGGACAAGAGGAUCAAGUUAGGCAAGGCUGAGACUACAAGAAAUCAAUGUCACACCUGUCCAGAUCCUGCUAAAUCAAUUGCCAAUAGCUCUUUCUUUCAUUUCAGUGGUACAACCACUGCUUUUUGAGCAUUUUUUAUGUAUUGAAUACUGAACCAAAGGCUUUACAUGCAUUAUCUCCUGUCAUUCUCACAAUAAUCUUAUGAGGUAGGUACUAUACUUAAUACAUUUUGUGGGUGUAGCAAACUUGAACUCACAGAGGUGAAAUGAUUGAUCGAAGGUUGCCUAGCUAGCUAAUGGAAGAACUAGGAUUUAAGCUCACGUUUAACCUCAAAGCCUAUGUGCAUAACCACAACACUGUGAAAACACAGCUUGGGAGAAUUGAGAAGAGUGAGCAAGGAUGCUGUCUCUGGGGUCUGGUACUUUCCUCAAGUCAGGGAGGCAGGAUGAUGACCAAAUUUUCCCCUCUUUGCUGCAUAGAGGAACCCACUGAAGCUUGGGACCCCUAGAAAUGCCAUAGCUAUAGGAUUCAGGCCUGAUGAGCUUCCAGCUGAGCACCGGGUGUCACUUGGGCUUUACCUGCUUAUCCUCAGGAUCUCUCUUCUGGUUAGGAACCUUAUGCCUGUUUUGCUCACUUUCGUAUUCUGGUGCUUUGUCUGGUUCUUUCAGCAAGCUCCCUGGGGCUAAGGGUGUGACUUCAUCACUCCUUUCUCUCUCUUUCCCUCUAGGGUCAUAUCUCCCAGGAAGAUCUCACUUCCCCACAGAAUCUCCUGGCCCGGCCUCCUGCAGUGCCACGCUCCGUGUAUUUGACAAGCUGAGUUGGACACUCCGUGUGGUAGAGUGUCAGUUUGUCAAAUACCCCAAGUGCGGCAUAUGCUUACCAGCUCCAGGCCAGGGCAGAUGGCAUAUGACGAAUGGACUGCCAGCUGGAUACAAGGAUGCUCACCAAGCACCAAGUUCUCACAAGUUAUUUUAUGUGACUCUGCAGGAACUGAGGCAUUUUUUUCUGAGGACACCAGAGAAAAAGUGUAGCAUCUCUGGGAAAUACAGCCCUGGACUGAGUCUACACACACCAUGAGAGUGCUGAUGGUGGUGCAAUAGGCUUGAAAAUGUAUAAUGGGUUCAAGAAUGGAAGUGCCCUUUGAUUCUUUAUUAUUUUCUUCCUUCACAUUCCCCUCCCAGAGUCUCCCAUGUAGGACAUCAGAAUUCUCACACAAGCAUCACGGUUUAUGUGAGUAAGCAGGGGUUAGAAAUUCACUUUCUUGACACUCAGUCUUGCCUUCUAAAUACUCCUUGAUCUUGCCUACCUCUUCCCUUUUCCACAAGUCUUUUCCUCUAGGAACCCUUUCUCCGUUUAUUUCUGCCUAUCCAGUUCUUCCCUAUAUUUCCUGUAUCAGCUAAAGUCCAGUGUUUCCAAAGACUUUUGAAAGUCAACUUAUACUUUUUCCUUCUUCAUUCACAAAGCACUUCUUGCCUGGGCCCUGGUAUGUGCCCCUUUCUCUCCUACUGUCUAACAGCAGUAGGAGAGAAUUGCCCUCUUGAAUUGUCAGUGACAACUGACAACUCUUGAAUUGUCAGUGAACUUUUCUAGGGGGUUUUCUUGAAUUCCCAACUAGAUUGUGAGCUUCUAGAAGACAAGGCUAUGUCUUUGAUUGCUGUCAUCCCUACCAAAACCCAGUACUUUAGUUACAGAAAAUAAUAAACAUUUACCGAUUGACUGGCUUUCCUCUAGUCCACUAGCUUUGGGUUUAGGCUUUGGGGCCAAAUUGUACUCUGGAUUUUGAAAAAAAAUCAAACUGUGAACACCGCAAUGUUAUAGAGCAUAUGAGGUAGUAGCCAGCAUGAAGGAUUUUUUUAUUCCUGAGAAACAGUGUCAAGUGCUGGAGGAAGAAGGCAAAAUAGCAGACUCAGAGAGCAAAUAAAUUUUGGUAUUACUUGAUUACACAGAGUUAUACAGGUGCUUUCUUGUAGGAUUUUUCAGAGCCUUUAAUAGUCUAACGUUGCAUUGAGAAACUCAAAGAGGAAACUAUAGAAUGAGGCCUUUGCCACACCUAUCUGAUCAUGAAUUUCUUUUCUCCCACAGGCCUUCUCCUGUGUCAAUGUCCAAUGAAGCAUGAUUUGGGAAACUGUCAUAGAGAAACUUUAUACCUUCCCUAUCUUCUGGAGAUCUUUUCCUCUUUUCACUCAUCUACUUUCCCCAACCAGCCAUCUGCCUAAGAAAGGUCCCCACCUGAUUUUUGUUUAGCCUAUCCUGCAGCUGUGGACUAUCUCUAUUACAUAGGAAUUCUUUACUAGCUUGUCCUGUAUUUAAAAAAAUUCUCAGUUUUGAAGCAAAGGUGAUCCAGAUGCUGCAAUAAAUACAUGCACUGAGGAGUUCACAGGC
Cercocebus atys (sooty mangabey) is the source of this 3695-nucleotide long non-coding RNA. RefSeq lists it as uncharacterized. Lineage: Eukaryota; Metazoa; Chordata; Mammalia; Primates; Cercopithecidae. The record is from RefSeq and is a predicted model, not a curated record. The transcript has 2 exons.